GAUGAACGCUGGCGGCGUGCCUAAUACAUGCAAGUCGAGCGAACGGACGAGAAGCUUGCUUCUCUGAUGUUGGCGGCGGACGGGUGAGUAACACGUGGAUAACCUACCUAUAAGACUGGGAUAACUUCGGGAAACCGGAGCUAAUACCGGAUAAUAUUUUGAACCGCAUGGUUCAAAAGUGAAAGACGGUCUUGCUGUCACUUAUAGAUGGAUCCGCGCUGCAUUAGCUAGUUGGUAAGGUAACGGCUUACCAAGGCAACGAUGCAUAGCCGACCUGAGAGGGGAUUAGGCCACCCGGAAACGGGGCACGGGCCCGAACCCCUACGGGGGGCGGAGGGGGGGAUUUUUCCGAAAGGGGGGAAAGCCUAACGGGGCAACGCCGGGGGGGUGAGAAGGGUUUUCGGUUCGAAAAACCUUUUUUUUGGGAAAAAAAAAAUUUGGAAAUAACUGUGCCCUUUUGACGGGACCCAAAGCAGAAGGCCCCGCCUACCUAGGG
This 496-nucleotide ribosomal RNA is filed under the name uncultured bacterium. Its description in RNAcentral is "partial 16S ribosomal RNA". It matches the Rfam family "Bacterial small subunit ribosomal RNA", at positions 28 to 507 of the family's 1533-position model. The record is from RNAcentral.